GCCGAAGCCGAGACGGAAAUUCGUGGUGAAUGUGCCGAGCGUGUUGGCCAUCCGCGAGCCCAAUCCUACCAGAGUUUCCUUGUCGUCCUUCAUUGACCACGUGAGAUCCAUGAGAUUGCGGUGUAUCGCAAUUUACAGCAGCGGAUAAUCGUGGCUCGUGGAACUACACGGACGAUCAAAUGUGAAUCGGUUUGCUGCUGGCAAGUCAGUCAUCGAAAGGCUCAUGCAGCGAGAGUAUCUUUUAUUGGCGUCGUGACGGAUCGGUGGGCGGUAUAUUGCACGCACGCUUGCCGAUUUACUUAGCCGGCCUGUACUGGAGCUUCACCACUUGGCUGGAGUGCGGCCGGAUCCUGAGCCGCAGCCUCUGCGGCUUCAGCUGAACCGGCUGUACCACGCUUCCGUUCGAGACAUCCUGAAAGUCCGCGUCCGCCAGCACUUGGAGCGAUACCGGCGGCGACGUACGGAUCUCCGCAUCCGGACAGCCGAACGCGCGCAAACGCUCCGGCACGUUGCACCGCGGCUUGUUUUGCAUCGCUGCGUCUCGUACAGGUGAUUCGACGCGUUAACAAAAACUUUGGUGUCCUCGAGAUCUCUUCUACGAGGUCUACAAGAAAGUUACCCAGUCGCUGCACCAGGCGCAAGCCGCGCUCGCCUCCAAGCAAUUCUCGCAGGCGCUCUGAGCCGUGCACAGGCUCAGGAUCUUCGUAUCGACGCCCAGGCACGUCCUUGCGAGAUACAGAUUCACUGUGAGAACGGACAACAGCAACGAUGCGCGAAACUUAUUCAUCUUAUUAGAUCGAUUAGCGCGAGAUACUCGAUGCACGCACCGAAAAUGCGAUCGGAACCGUGAGAGAAUAAUCAGAGAUUUAUUCUCCGCGGAAGACGGAGUUUCUUUUUUGGCGUGCACUUUAUCUACGAGAUCGGCCGCGCAUUCGACCUGGCACGAACGUAGAUCGAGGCGAUAUACCAUGCGAUAAUUACAAGGCAUAACACGAGGCGCGUCGCGUGUGAUUUUCCCGUAACGAGCGAACCGAUCGUACUCGCGCGCGUGUAUACGCGUGCUCUAUUCGCGCGUACUAGCAGGUGGCACAUCGGAAUCCGAAGGCAAAACUCGGGCAAUCAGUAACGCGGAUAAAGCUGCAUGUAACGCGCGUCUGUUUCCUUAUCAGUGGUAACGAUAACGAUAAACUUCGUACUCGCGAAUCGCCCGUUUGGCGAACGUGCAAGUUCCCGAUCAUCUGCGUAAUCGAUACAGCGACCGAAGUUGCGUUGCGAUUGAUGCGUGAUGCUCGAUUUGCUUCAGCUUGAUACAAUCCUUGUUGACAAUAUCAGAUUCUAGAAUUCUUACCUCUCUUUGCAUGUAAGAACAAAAUUAAUGUUAAUUAAAACAGUGGCAUAAACUAUGUUAUUGCAACAAAA
Ooceraea biroi (clonal raider ant) is the source of this 1419-nucleotide long non-coding RNA. RefSeq lists it as uncharacterized. NCBI's taxonomy places the organism in Eukaryota, Metazoa, Arthropoda, Insecta, Hymenoptera, Formicidae. The record is from RefSeq and is a predicted model, not a curated record.